UGACCAUUAUCCGAUCGCUAAGACGCUUGCACACUCCCUCAAAGCUCCAUUUGUUUAAGCCCACCUAGAAAUGUUUUUCCCUGAGGGACAGACUGCGCUAAGAGUGAACAAACUAACGAGUUCAUGACAUGAUCCAGGGAUCUGAUGCAACCACCCCCCAUUGUCAGUGUCCAGUUGGUCAUCAAAAUGCCGGGAUCUCUUGCAAGGUUCAUCAACACUUGG
Molecule: long non-coding RNA, 222 nt
Organism: Salvelinus namaycush (lake trout)
Lineage: Eukaryota; Metazoa; Chordata; Actinopteri; Salmoniformes; Salmonidae
Exons: 3
Source: RefSeq, a predicted model, not a curated record